RNAcentral lists this ribosomal RNA (292 nucleotides) under uncultured bacterium. RNAcentral's name for it is "partial 16S ribosomal RNA". It matches the Rfam family "Bacterial small subunit ribosomal RNA", at positions 505 to 796 of the family's 1533-position model. The record is from RNAcentral.
GUGUCAGCAGCCGCGGUAAUACGAAGGACCCAAGCGUUAUCCGGAUUUAUUGGGUUUAAAGGGUGCGUAGGCGGGUUGUUAAGUCAGUGGUGAAAGCUCCGAGCCCAACUCGGAAACUGCCAUUGAUACUGACGAUCUUGAGUACAUUUGAGGUGGGCGGAAUGUGUCAUGUAGCGGUGAAAUGCUUAGAGAUGACACAGAACACCGAUUGCGAAGGCAGCUCACUAAACUGUAACUGACGCUGAGGCACGAAAGCGUGGGGAGCAAACAGGAUUAGAUACCCUUGUAGUCC